AUAUAAGCAAAUUUUACUUUUUAGGUUCAUUCAACUGAUGAUGUAUGUGGUUUAUAAUAUGGACCACAUACAUCAUUAAUUGAAUGAACCUAAAAAGUAAAAUUUGCUUAUAU
MicroRNA precursor from Medicago truncatula (barrel medic), 113 nucleotides. It matches the Rfam family "MIR2593 microRNA precursor family". Lineage: Eukaryota; Viridiplantae; Streptophyta; Magnoliopsida; Fabales; Fabaceae. The record is from Rfam.